RNAcentral lists this ribosomal RNA (403 nucleotides) under uncultured bacterium. Its description in RNAcentral is "bacterial SSU rRNA". It matches the Rfam family "Bacterial small subunit ribosomal RNA", at positions 355 to 775 of the family's 1533-position model. The record is from RNAcentral.
UAGGGAAUAUUAGUAAUGGGCGAAAGCCUGAACUAGCAACGCCGCGUGUGCGAAGAAGGCCUUCGGGUUGUAAAGCACUUUUUGAGAGGAUGAGGAAGGACGGUACUCUCAGAAUAAGUCUCGGCUAACUACGUGCCAGCAGCCGCGGUACCACGUGGAAGGCGAACUUUAUCCGGUUUUACUGGGCGUAAAGCGCGGGUAGGUGGUUUGGUAAGUAGGGCGUGAAAGCUCCUGGCUCAACUGGGAGAGGCCGUUCUAAACUGCCGAACUAGAGGAUGGUAGAGGGAGGUGGAAUUCCGGGUGUAGCGGUGGAAUGCGCAGAUAUCCGGAGGAACACCAGUGGCGAAAGCGGCCUCCUGGACCAUUCCUGACACUCAGACGCGAAAGCUAGGGUAGCAAACGG